CUGGCUCAGAUUGAACGCUGGCGGCAUGCCUUACACAUGCAAGUCGAACGGCAGCACGGGUGCUUGCACCUGGUGGCGAGUGGCGAACGGGUGAGUAAUACAUCGGAACAUGUCCUGUAGUGGGGGAUAGCCCGGCGAAAGCCGGAUUAAUACCGCAUACGAUCUACGGAUGAAAGCGGGGGACCUUCGGGCCUCGCGCUAUAGGGUUGGCCGAUGGCUGAUUAGCUAGUUGGUGGGGUAAAGGCCUACCAAGGCGACGAUCAGUAGCUGGUCUGAGAGGACGACCAGCCACACUGGGACUGAGACACGGCCCAGACUCCUACGGGAGGCAGCAGUGGGGAAUUUUGGACAAUGGGCGAAAGCCUGAUCCAGCAAUGCCGCGUGUGUGAAGAAGGCCUUCGGGUUGUAAAGCACUUUUGUCCGGAAAGAAAUCCUUGGUUCUAAUAUAACCGGGGGAUGACGGUACCGGAAGAAUAAGCACCGGCUAACUACGUGCCAGCAGCCGCGGUAAUACGUAGGGUGCGAGCGUUAAUCGGAAUUACUGGGCGUAAAGCGUGCGCAGGCGGUUUGUUAAGACCGAUGUGAAAUCCCCGGGCUCAACCUGGGAACUGCAUUGGUGACUGGCAAGCUAGAGUAUGGCAGAGGGGGGUAGAAUUCCACGUGUAGCAGUGAAAUGCGUAGAGAUGUGGAGGAAUACCGAUGGCGAAGGCAGCCCCCUGGGCCAAUACUGACGCUCAUGCACGAAAGCGUGGGGAGCAAACAGGAUUAGAUACCCUGGUAGUCCACGCCCUAAACGAUGUCAACUAGUUGUUGGGGAUUCAUUUCCUUAGUAACGUAGCUAACGCGUGAAGUUGACCGCCUGGGGAGUACGGUCGCAAGAUUAAAACUCAAAGGAAUUGACGGGGACCCGCACAAGCGGUGGAUGAUGUGGAUUAAUUCGAUGCAACGCGAAAAACCUUACCUACCCUUGACAUGGUCGGAAUCCCGCUGAGAGGUGGGAGUGCUCGAAAGAGAACCGGCGCACAGGUGCUGC
RNAcentral lists this ribosomal RNA (1033 nucleotides) under Burkholderia sp. S1.MAC.002. RNAcentral's name for it is "bacterial SSU rRNA". It matches the Rfam family "Bacterial small subunit ribosomal RNA", at positions 19 to 1044 of the family's 1533-position model. Lineage: Bacteria; Pseudomonadati; Pseudomonadota; Betaproteobacteria; Burkholderiales; Burkholderiaceae. The record is from RNAcentral.